This 72-nucleotide transfer RNA is filed under the name Camelus bactrianus (Bactrian camel). It matches the Rfam family "tRNA". From Rfam's summary of the family: Transfer RNA (tRNA) molecules are approximately 80 nucleotides in length. Their secondary structure includes four short double-helical elements and three loops (D, anti-codon, and T loops). RNAcentral also lists the same sequence under 1 other name. The record is from Rfam by way of RNAcentral. Lineage: Eukaryota; Metazoa; Chordata; Mammalia; Artiodactyla; Camelidae.
GGGUAUAUAGCUCAGUGGUAGAGUGUGUGCUUAGCGUGUACGAGGUCCUGGGUUCAAUCCCCUGUACCUCCA